Molecule: ribosomal RNA, 890 nt
Filed under: uncultured archaeon
Lineage: Archaea
Description: bacterial SSU rRNA
Rfam family: Archaeal small subunit ribosomal RNA
Source: RNAcentral
GUGCCAGCAGCCGCGGUAAUACCAGCUCCGCGAGUGGUCGGGACGAUUAUUGAGCCUAAAGCGCUCGUAGCCGGUCCGGUAAGUCCUGUGCUAAAUCCAACGGCUCAACCGUUGGGCCGCAUGGGAUACUGCUGGGCUAGGGAGCGGAAGAGGCCAGGGGUACUCCCGGGGUAGGGGCGAAAUCCUAUAAUCCCGGGAGGACGACCAGUGGCGAAGGCGCCUGGCUAGGACGCGUCCGACGGUGAGGGGCGAAAGCUGGGGGAGCGAACCGGAUUAGAUACCCGGGUAGUCCCAGCUGUAAACGAUGCGGAUUGGGUGCCGGUACGGCUUCGGGCCGUAUCGGUGCCUCAGGGAAGCCGUUAAAUCCGCCGCUUGGGGAGUACGGUCGCAAGACUGAAACUUAAAGGAAUUGGCGGGGGAGCACCACAAGGGGUGAAGCCUGCGGCUCAAUUGGAGUCAGCGCCGGGAACUUUACCGGGGGCGACAGCAGUAUGAGGGCCAAGCUGAUGACUUUGCCCGACGCGCUGAGAGGUGGCGCAUGGCCGUCGCCAGCUCGUGCCGUGAGGUGUCUGGUUAAGUCCAGGAACGAGCGAGACCCUCACCCCUAGUUGCCACCGCGCAAGCGGGCACACUAGGGGGACCGCCACCGCUAAGGUGGAGGAGGGAGGGGGCAACGGCAGGUCAGCAUGCCCCGAAUCCCCCGGGCCGCACGCGGGCUGCAAUGGUGGAGACAAUGGGUUCCGAACCCGAAAGGGGGAGGUAAUCCUUGAAACUCCACCGUAGUUGGGAUCGAGGGCUGCAACCCGCCCUCGUGAACCUGGAAUCCCCAGUAAUCGCGUGUCAUCAUCGCGCGGUGAACACGUCCCCGCUCCUUGCACACACCGCCCGUC